GCCCCGCGCUCCAGCGGCCGAGCGCGUGCGGCCGCCGAGCACAUGGGCCCGCGGGCCGGGUGGACUCGGGCGGCCUGGACCGGGAGGAACAGCGAGGGGCGGCGAGCGAGGCUGGGUCCCGGCACGCCCCCGGAGCCCCCCGAGUGGAUUUCCACGCGGAAAGGAUGGUGGCCGUCCGGGUGACCUGCGGAGACACGGCCGGAUCCACCUUCCAGCCUGAUCUUUUGAUCAGGGAGGAAUUCAAAAGAAUGCCCCCUUGUGAUGGCUGCGCUGUCAAGUACAUGGAGCUUCCCUCGAGGAUUUUCUGAGCCUUGUGGAUGUACCGUGAGCCUCGCUGCCUGGGGAGUAAGGCGGCGGAAGCAGUCUCUGGGGGGACCCAUGCCCGCAGCAUUUCUGGAUGCUAAAGGUGGCUUUAAGGAAGGCCCAGCUGAGUGCCUCGUGGAUUCCUGCAGCCUGGAUGCCUGCGGGGGACAGAAGACCGAUGCUUCCUGCCCUCAUCACCCAGGAAUGUCGGGAGGGGCUCCGCCAAUUCCCUGAAGGGCUCCCAGUGAAACAAAUGGUGCCACCCUUGGUUGAUCAGCUGGGGCUGAGAGGAGAAGGCGAUGAUGGAAUGCGAGUGAAGCUCAACAUCUCAGCAUUUUCCAGGAGCAAUAAACCUUCCUGUGAUGGCUGUGGUGUAAUCUGAAAAAAAGCAGAUCCGUUCAGAACUCCAGAAGGACUUGAAAACUGUCCUGCCCCGAACGAAAGCUGGAAUAUCGUGGGCUUUGAUGAACCAAGGAAAAGUGCCUUCAUCAGGACGCAGCAGUAAGCCUGCUGACUACUUAAGCCCUGCCUAGGUUCCUAGGAAAUGGGCAGGAAAAGUGCCUGCCACCUGCUGCUUGCUGGUGUGCUGUUUUGGCAGCAGGAGCUGUGGGAACACACAGGGGCAGGAGAACAAACACAUUACACACGAGGACUUCCAUCCUCCAGCCAGCAAGGUGCCGACACCUCACACUUGACACCUGCUGAGCGCCCUACUGUGUGCCCCGCCCCCCUGAACGAGGCAGCCUCGGAGCUUGGAUCCUAGUUGGAGAGACAGGCAAUUAGCAGGAUGGCAGAUCCACAUCCAGGAUCCUGGGAAGCACUUGACAGAGGGGACGAGCCCAGCAAUAACACUGACCAAAGAGAAGUGAAUCCUUUUGCCCAGUGACUGGAAGACACAAGAAAGUGGUGGGGGGUGGGAGGCAGGGGGGAAGGAGCCUGGCACCUUGCCACGCUUCCCCUGUAAGGAGCACACACCCUCUCCCCCACCCCCUCCCCCCAAACACAUAAUACCUUUUAACUGGUGAUUUGGUCACUGCUGCGCUGUCUUCAUUGAAUGUGGUUUUGAGAGAAUGGUUGGUCUGGAAAUUUUAUUUUCAAUUAAACUUCCUUGUGGAACU
RNAcentral lists this long non-coding RNA (1421 nucleotides) under Sus scrofa (pig). RNAcentral's name for it is "lncRNA (ENSSSCG00040009303.1)". The stretch from base 35 to 214 matches the Rfam family "Pvt1 oncogene conserved region 1". The record is from RNAcentral. Lineage: Eukaryota; Metazoa; Chordata; Mammalia; Artiodactyla; Suidae.